This 620-nucleotide long non-coding RNA is filed under the name Capsicum annuum. RNAcentral describes it as "long non-coding RNA (CANN_LNC001542)". Lineage: Eukaryota; Viridiplantae; Streptophyta; Magnoliopsida; Solanales; Solanaceae. The record is from RNAcentral.
CACAAUCACACCACAAAAUUGCAACAUUAAACACCUUUGAGAUGAUAAAAAUAGUAAAGUUGAGGGAUGGGCCUUCAAAAAACUAAUUUCAUUGAUAAUAAUGCUUAAGAAAUCCCAAACUUGGAAUCCCGAAUGGACAACUUCAACAACGAACAAAAUCUAACUUAGUAUAAAAAAAUAACAAUCAGAAAUUGUAGCUGGGUUGCAGUUCAUGCCUCACUAGAGCUCCAAUAAGCUCAACGAGUGAUGGACAGAUUAACAACGUCUUAGAUUUUGAGCAACGAAGGCAUUUCCCAGUGAUAAAUGUGUCGAAAUAAUAUCUCUCCAUCUUUUCCUCUCCUUGCUCACACAAAUCUUCCUCAAAUCUCUCUAAUUUUCUUACUUUAAUUAAUUCUCUCUGUAUUUUAUCCCUCCUUCUCUCUAUCCUACUAUUUUAUCUACUUUAUACGUCUGCGUGUGUUACUGUGUAUGUGUAUAUGUGUAUUUUCUUCUAUGGAAAUUGAGAGUGGACGAGGUCUGUUUGCCUAUAAGUGUCGAUGGAUGGUGAGAAUUUAUGAGUGGGUUUGUAGUCAGACCAUGGUGAGGAUUUCUUUUUAGAUUAUUCUAUGUGUAUGUGGAGA